UGCAGUCGACGAUGAUGUCCCGCUUGCGGGACGGAUUAGUGGCGAACGGGUGAGUAAUACGUGAGUAACCUGCCCCUGACUCUGGGAUAAGCCUGGGAAACCGGGUCUAAUACUGGAUACUACUUCUUGCCGCAUGGUGGGUGGUGGAAAGGGUUCUACUGGUUUUGGAUGGGCUCACGGCCUAUCAGCUUGUUGGUGGGGUAAUGGCUCACCAAGGCGACGACGGGUAGCCGGCCUGAGAGGGUGACCGGCCACACUGGGACUGAGACACGGCCCAGACUCCUACGGGAGGCAGCAGUGGGGAAUAUUGCACAAUGGGCGCAAGCCUGAUGCAGCGACGCCGCGUGAGGGAUGACGGCCUUCGGGUUGUAAACCUCUUUCAGUAGGGAAGAAGCGAAAGUGACGGUACCUGCAGAAGAAGCGCCGGCUAACUACGUGCCAGCAGCCGCGGUAAUACGUAGGGCGCAAGCGUUGUCCGGAAUUAUUGGGCGUAAAGAGCUCGUAGGCGGUUUGUCGCGUCUGCUGUGAAAGCCCGGGGCUCAACCCCGGGUCUGCAGUGGGUACGGGCAGACUAGAGUGCAGUAGGGGAGACUGGAAUUCCUGGUGUAGCGGUGAAAUGCGCAGAUAUCAGGAGGAACACCGAUGGCGAAGGCAGGUCUCUGGGCUGUUACUGACGCUGAGGAGCGAAAGCAUGGGGAGCGAACAGGAUUAGAUACCCUGGUAGUCCAUGCCGUAAACGUUGGGCACU
This 748-nucleotide ribosomal RNA is filed under the name Kocuria sp. NEAU-ST5-12. RNAcentral's name for it is "bacterial SSU rRNA". It matches the Rfam family "Bacterial small subunit ribosomal RNA", at positions 56 to 817 of the family's 1533-position model. The record is from RNAcentral. Lineage: Bacteria; Bacillati; Actinomycetota; Actinomycetes; Micrococcales; Micrococcaceae.